UGACAAAAUACAGCUAAAUGAAAAAAUAAAAAAUAAAGAAAAUGAGAUAAAAAUCCUAAAUGAAGAAAAAAAUAUGCUACACAAACUUGCACAUGAUAAAAUUGUAUAUAUGAAAAAAAAUUUUGAAUUUAGAUGUUAUAUCGAAAAGUUACAACACAAUAUAAAUUCCAAAACCAUAGCUUUUAAUAAUUUAAAAAAUGAAAAAAACAAUUUAGAAAAAAAAAUAAAUACAUACUAUGAGCAAUUACAAUUAGCAAAAGAAGAUAUAAAUAUGUAUAUGAGUUAUUUAAAUCAUAUGAAGCUCAAAAUCCAAAAGGAAAAACAGCAACAACAACCACAGCAAGAAAAGAAGCAACAACUGCAAAAGGAGGUAGAACAAAAAGAAAUAAGAAAAUUUAAACAAUUUUUAAAAAAUUGUAAUAAAAAAUUAUUUAUUAAACAAAAAAAAACAAAUUUUGCUUGUUAUAAAAAAAACAGAGAAAUUUAUUUUGAAAAAAAAUGCGAACAUAAAAAGCAUCCAAAACAUGAUAAAACUUUUUUUUUAAUACUGGAUGAACAAAAUAUGAAUAACAAUUUUCAAUUAACUGAGUUUUCUUUAGAUAACACACGUAAUAAACAUGUACAAGAGCCAAUGAAUGAUCAGAUUGAAAAAAAAAAAAAAUGGAAAACAAAUUACGAGCAUGUGUUACCUCUUAUUCAGAACAAUAGUAAUAAGAGUGGCUUAAAUGAUGAGCACCUUAAAUUGUUUACUAGUGAAUUUUCAAAGAGGGAAAUACAGAACGAUAUACAUCAAGACAUACAUCAAGACAUACAUCAAGACAUACAUCAAGACAUACAUCAAGACAUACAUCAAGACAUACAUCAAGACAUACGUCAAGACAUACAUCAAGACAUACAUCAAGACAUACAUCAAGACGUACAUCAAGACAUACAUCAAGACAUACAUCAAGACGUACAUCAAGACAUACAUCAAGACGUACAUCAAGACAUACAUAAAAGCGUAGAGCAUUACACACAAUACGAUAUACAACAAGAUACAGAACAAGAAAUGAAUAUUCAAAUCAGAGGGGUACCCCAAAUAAAACACGAGUACGAUGAAAUGGUUGAACUAGUUAAAAAAGAAAAAUUAUGUGACAACGACAAAUGCAAU
RNAcentral lists this long non-coding RNA (1150 nucleotides) under Piliocolobus tephrosceles (Ugandan red Colobus). RNAcentral describes it as "lncRNA (ENSPTEG00000009897.1)". Lineage: Eukaryota; Metazoa; Chordata; Mammalia; Primates; Cercopithecidae. The record is from RNAcentral.